CUGCCUGCGUAUGGUUUUCCAGAACUCACCUGGAGCUUAAAAUCCUGCCCAAAAUCUCCGACCAUCCUGAUUCUGCGAACCGAGUUGAAAUCCACCCAGAACCAAAGAACCCCAAAUUGCUCAAGCCAUAAGCUCUCAAAAGGGUGGAGGCAAAAAUCUGGAAAGCUCCCAACUUUCAGUUCAUCAAGCAGAAAGCUUCGGAUGCAGAAAAAUGGGGAAAUGGCGGAAACUAAAAAGAAGCAAGCUUUCACAUCCAAAAUGUGAAAUGGGAAAGAACCCGUGCUGCCGCCAUUAAAGGGUAUUACCAGAAUCUGAAGCAGGUGUCGGCCUCUGGUCCACUUGAAUCAAAACUCCAGCAAUUCAACUGUCUGCCAUGGAAUUCACGAGGAGGGUUGUUUUUCUUUUUACUUUUGGGGUUGAAAGGGAUUGAAGGGGCUAAGCUUAAGUUGAAGUUUUCCAGAUGGGAGACAGAGAGUUGUGGCUUUCAGAAGUGAGAGUGGAGAGGGAGAGAGAGAGUGAGAUCUGCAGAGGAAACAGAGAGCAACAGCGCCAAUAAAGCGGUGUUGUCCGUUUG
Molecule: long non-coding RNA, 574 nt
Filed under: Linum usitatissimum (flax)
Lineage: Eukaryota; Viridiplantae; Streptophyta; Magnoliopsida; Malpighiales; Linaceae
Description: long non-coding RNA (LUSI_LNC007927)
Source: RNAcentral